GACGAACGCUGGCGGCGUGCUUAACACAUGCAAGUCGAACGAAGUGGCGAACGGGUGAGUAACGCGUAAUCAACCUGCCCUUCAGAGGGGGACAACAGUUGGAAACGACUGCUAAUACCGCAUACUGAAGGAGGGGAUUGCGUCGGAUUAGCUAGUUGGAGGGGUAACGGCCCACCAAGGCGAUGAUCAGUAGCCGGUCGUGGAGGAUGAACGGCCACAAUGGGACUGGGACACGGCCCAGAAUCCUACGGGAGGCAGCAGUGGGGAAUCUUCCGAAAUGGACGAAAGUCUGGCGGAGCAACGCCGGGGGAGUGAUGACGGCCUUCGGGUUGUAAAGCUCUGUUAAUCGGGACGCGGUACCGGAAGAGAAAGCCACGGCUAACUACGUGCCAGCAGCCGCGGUAAUAC
This 408-nucleotide ribosomal RNA is filed under the name uncultured bacterium. RNAcentral describes it as "partial 16S ribosomal RNA". It matches the Rfam family "Bacterial small subunit ribosomal RNA", at positions 28 to 526 of the family's 1533-position model. The record is from RNAcentral.